This 520-nucleotide ribosomal RNA is filed under the name uncultured eukaryote. RNAcentral's name for it is "SSU rRNA". It matches the Rfam family "Eukaryotic small subunit ribosomal RNA", at positions 618 to 1138 of the family's 1831-position model. The record is from RNAcentral.
GUUAAAAAGCUCGUAGUUGGAUUUCUGGUGGGGCUGUCGGCCUGGCUCCGAAAGGGGUCGGCGCUUGUACACGCCUGGCCAUCCUCGGGGGAAGCUUUGCUGGCAUUAAGUUGUCGGCGGAGUGACGCUCGUCGUUUACUGUGAACAAAUUAGAGUGUUCAAAGCAGGCUUAGGCCGUUGAAUACAUUAGCAUGGAAUAAUGAGAUAGGACUUUGGUGGUCUAUUUUGUUGGUUUGCACGCCGAAGUAAUGAUUAAUAGGGGCGGUUGGGGGUAUUCGUAUUCAAUUGUCAGAGGUGAAAUUCUUGGAUUUAUGGAAGACGAACUACUGCGAAAGCAUUUACCAAGGAUGUUUUCAUUAAUCAAGAACGAAAGUUAGGGGAUCGAAGAAGAUUAGAUACCUUCGUAGUCUUAACCAUAAACUAUGCCGACUAGGGAUUGGCGGUCGCUUGUUCAGGCUCCGUCAGCACCUUAUGAGAAAUCAAAGUCUUUGGGUUCCGGGGGGAGUAUGGUCGCAAGGCU